Molecule: ribosomal RNA, 470 nt
Filed under: uncultured Alphaproteobacteria bacterium
Lineage: Bacteria; Pseudomonadati; Pseudomonadota; Alphaproteobacteria
Description: bacterial SSU rRNA
Rfam family: Bacterial small subunit ribosomal RNA
Source: RNAcentral
GAGUUUGAUCGUGGCUCAGAACGAACGCUGGCGGCAGGCUUAACACAUGCAAGUCGAGCGCCCCGCAAGGGGAGCGGCAGACGGGUGAGUAACGCGUGGGAAUCUACCCAGCCCUACGGAAUAACUCCGGGAAACUGGAACUAAUACCGUAUACGUCCGAUAGGAGAAAGAUUUAUCGGGGUUGGAUGAGCCCGCGUUGGAUUAGCUAGUUGGUGGGGUAAUGGCCUACCAAGGCGACGAUCCAUAGCUGGUCUGAGGGGAUGAUCAGCCACACUGGGACUGAGACACGGCCCAGACUCCUACGGGAGGCAGCAGUGGGGAAUAUUGGGCAAUGGGCGAAAGCCUGAUCCAGCCAUGCCGCGUGAGUGAUGAAGGCCCUAGGGUUGUAAAGCUCUUUCACCGGUGAAGAUAAUGACGGUAACCGGAGAAGAAGCCCCGGCUAACUCCGUGCCAACAGCCGCCGCCGUAAG